AGUUUAAAAGGCCAAAAGUAUUUAAUAAAAUUUCGAGUUUUUAAACGCAAAUUUGUAUUGAACAUAUUUAGUUGAUACACUCCGUACUCCGUACCGAGAAGCGAAUAGUGCUUACGAUGUUGUACAUAAGCAGACUGAUCAACAAAGAAUUCCAGCCGACGCAGUAACAAUCCCAAAAACAACCCUCCUGCUUUGUAGAAUUUUCAGUUGAGCUCUUGCCCGCACUUUGAAAGCAGGACUCUGCGGAGGGUGUGAUUUGAGUGAGUUUUUUUUAAAGGUUUUUGAGAUUAAAUUGUUGAUCAAUAGAGUAUACAAGCCACUAGCCUCUCGUACAUUCUCACCUGCAAUGCAUACGGAUGUGAAUUGAGUGUUUUUAGCGUUUUUAAAUUAUAGUUUAUGAACGAUAAACUGAAGUCUACCAUGCAACAUGUUUAGUUAAAUGAUUUAAAAUGUUGGCUUUAAUGUCCUUUCAAAUAUAACUUCUUAAAAGUAUAUAACCAAUUCUUUUAAUGAGAACACUUGUUUGCCAGAUAUGUCUGAAUAGAAAGCCUUACGGAAACAGCUGUUGCGAGAUUGUUUUAGGUACUACCUAAGGAAACGCAGCUGCGGCACUCACUCGAAAUUUCAACCAACUGCAGACAGGAAAAACUCAAAAAGGAUCACAAACGGAAACUUAACGCAGUUUUUGUUAAGUAACGAAACAUCUGCCGGUGCUGGCAUGCUACAAAACCAGUUUGUGGUGGUGUCUGUUGCCGUAGAGUUAGGUAUUUAUGUUUUCUCUUGGCCAGCUACCUUAAAAAUGCGUGUGGCAGCAAUACCUAUGGUUUUUUGCCCAAAGGAGAACUGGAAGUUUCAGUUUAUCUGUCCUCAUUUGGCUGGUUUUGUUAAUGCUUUGAAGGACGUUCAACCAGAGAAAAAUUUUUCUGAGGAAAAUGCAAUUUUUUUCACGAAAUGUGUAACGUAAGAGACGACAUAAAGUAGAAUCAAGCGCCGAGAAACAAUUUCCGGCGUAUUUUGGGGACUUUAAUAAUAAUAAUCAAAUACAUUGGUGCCUCUAGCUUAAUGCCACCUGUUCUACGAGCUCCUGAAAAAAAGACCGCUUUUUCAGAGAUACACCCUAACCUUUUGAGAUACACAACUUAGGAAUAGUUUCCAAUACAAAGAGCCCGAGAUCUCUUCAAUUUAGCUAUAGAAAAAACACUAUUGUCAGCUAAAAUUUUCGAGUCACUUAAAAUCCUCAGUAUCCCUGAGUGAUUAUAAUAUUUUUGUUUUCAGCACCCAGCUUUGAAUUUUUCAAAUCAUAAAUUAUAGCCAAAUACUGCUUAUGUAUAUACUUAAAGAAGCAUUUAUGCACAACGCACAAACAAAUCUGCGGCAAACUGUGGAACACACGUAGCAACAGAGCGGCUUCUUCCCCCCUCGUUACAGAGAUGGAAAUUAAUUGUUGAAUAACUCCUGUUUGUUUUCCGAUCUUCAUGAAUUUUUGUUUUUAAUUUUGGGGGUAAUGGGGAGGGGGCCGUAAAUGUCCGUCCGCGCCCAUCAGAAUUUUAAGAUGAAAUUUUAUACAAAUUUAAUGAGCUCUCUGUAUUUAUGUAUGUAUUAAAUAAAGUUGUUAUAUAUGUUUGGGCUGGGAA
Drosophila montana is the source of this 1634-nucleotide long non-coding RNA. RefSeq lists it as uncharacterized. The transcript is spliced from 2 exons. The record is from RefSeq and is a predicted model, not a curated record. NCBI's taxonomy places the organism in Eukaryota, Metazoa, Arthropoda, Insecta, Diptera, Drosophilidae.